This 218-nucleotide unclassified non-coding RNA is filed under the name Hevea brasiliensis (rubber tree). Lineage: Eukaryota; Viridiplantae; Streptophyta; Magnoliopsida; Malpighiales; Euphorbiaceae. The record is from RNAcentral.
GUCAGUGGUCCCAAGAGGGAGAGGGAGUAUAAAGUAGUUAUUAAGUUCGUUGCACGUGCAAAUUUACACCAUUUGGGUCAGUUUCUGGCGGGUAAGCGUGCUGAUGCUCCACAAGAAGCUCUUCAAAUACUGGACAUUGUAUUGAGAGAGCUGUCAUCUAAAAGGUACUGUCCUAUAGGGAGAUCCUUCUUUUCUCCUGAUAUUAGAUCACCUCAGCG